UCAAACAUCACAAGACCAUAAAAAUCGCUCAACAUAAUUUUUAAACAUUUAAUCAAUUUAGAAAUGAAUUAAAUGCAUUUUAAUUUGGAUAAAAUCUCAAAUCCCUUCAAAACACCAAAUAAAUGGCCAAGGGAUUUAUCCUAGGUCAAACAAGGUCAACGGACCUUAGAUAAAAAAUUUCACAACUUUAAACAAUCGGAAGUAUUUUAAAACAAU
Molecule: long non-coding RNA, 216 nt
Filed under: Lathyrus oleraceus (garden pea)
Lineage: Eukaryota; Viridiplantae; Streptophyta; Magnoliopsida; Fabales; Fabaceae
Description: Pisum sativum (pea) long non-coding RNA (PSAT_LNC029358)
Source: RNAcentral